UACGGGCGAUGUAUUUUUUGUACUCGCUCGGCACCUUACGAGAAAUCAAAGUUUUGGGUUCUGGGGGAGUAUGGUCGCAAGGACUGAAACUUAAAGAAAUUAGACGGAAGGGCACCACCAGGAGUUAAAAACAUUAUAUAACUACAAGCUGUAGUUUCUGCUCUGCUCCUAAUAGCUACCUUUCUUAAGGUUUAAGUGGUCUGUCCUUGGCAAAAGUGCUAAAAUUCAAAUGCUAGUCCUUAUCAUCGGGCUAUACACUCCAACUGCGGGAAUCCUCUAGAGCUUUUACUACCAAGCCAGUUACCGAAAGGUGCUGUGUGGCCAAGUUAAUAACUUUGGGUAUGGUAACAACGUAAAAGAUGUAACAAUGAGUUAUCCGCAGCCAAUCCCCUACUGUAAAUGUUGGGGCUGGUUCAGAGACUUGAUGGGUGUGAGUUCAGUUACUUUUAAAUGCUGAACUUGAGAUGAAGUCCAUCCCUAGAGAAGUUUCUAGGGAGGCAAUGGGAGCCUGCGGCUUAAUUUGACUCAACACGG
Molecule: ribosomal RNA, 534 nt
Filed under: uncultured fungus
Lineage: Eukaryota; Fungi
Description: partial 18S ribosomal RNA
Rfam family: Eukaryotic small subunit ribosomal RNA
Source: RNAcentral